Molecule: ribosomal RNA, 306 nt
Filed under: uncultured bacterium
Lineage: Bacteria
Description: partial 16S ribosomal RNA
Rfam family: Bacterial small subunit ribosomal RNA
Source: RNAcentral
GACAGCAGUCGCCGCGGUAAUACGGAGGGGGCUAGCGUUGUUCGGAAUUACUGGGCGUAAAGCGUACGUAGGCGGCUUUGUAAGUUAGAGGUGAAAGCCUGGUGCUCAACACCAGAACUGCCUUUAAGACUGCAUCGCUCGAACGUCGGAGAGGUGAGUGGAAUUCCGAGUGUAGAGGUGAAAUUCGUAGAUAUUCGGAAGAACACCAGUGGCGAAGGCGGCUUACUGGCUCAUACUGGACGCUGAGGUGCGAAAGCGUGGGGAGCAAACAGGAUUAGAUACCCCUGUAGUCCCUGUCUCUUAUAC